GGGUCAGUAGGUUGGUCGUGCCCACGGUACGUACUGGUCUCACUGAUUCCUCCUUCCUGAAGAACCGUAAUGCCAUUAAUUUGGUGUUGCGGGGAAACAGGACUGUUACUUUGAAAAAAUUAGAGUGUUUAAAGCAAGCUAACGCUUGAAUACAUUAGCAUGGAAUAAUGAAAUAGGACGAUCGAUCCUAUUUUGUUGGUUUCUAGGAUUGACGUA
Molecule: ribosomal RNA, 216 nt
Filed under: Glomeromycotina sp.
Lineage: Eukaryota; Fungi; Glomeromycota
Description: partial small subunit ribosomal RNA
Rfam family: Eukaryotic small subunit ribosomal RNA (bases 40-216)
Source: RNAcentral